CUGGGGUGAAUUUUCAUUUCCUGCUGCGACGUCCUUUGGUAAAACGAGCAUAACCUUUGAUCUGGGAGGAGUUACGGGGCCUGAUACCUAUCAAAAUGAAGAUAUCGACGAGAUCUACAACUUUCAUUCUUUGAGAAUCGACAGAAUCGCUCUGCAUCAAGGUCGAAAUCGGCCUCCAAGUGACUGCUGUGUAAAUUACAACUUCCAAACUUUGAGGUUCAACGUUCGUUUAGUAAAAAUAUCAUAACUUUUUCAUAUGAACUCCGAUUGGGACGAUUCAAGAUGUUCCGGAAAGCUAAAGAAGAGCUCUACAAUAAAAUUCAAGUCCCAAGCUAAGAACAUGCAUCCAACUUAAUGCUAAAAAUUCUGCAAUUUUCUCUUUUUCCUCAUUUCAGCUCCAAUUCUUCCUGAAAUCAUUAAAUACCUUAAUAAGCUCAUAUACCCAUGAAACAUGCAAUAAAACUAAAUAUAAUGGAAU
Molecule: long non-coding RNA, 478 nt
Filed under: Panax ginseng (ginseng)
Lineage: Eukaryota; Viridiplantae; Streptophyta; Magnoliopsida; Apiales; Araliaceae
Description: long non-coding RNA (PGIN_LNC001444)
Source: RNAcentral